Molecule: ribosomal RNA, 274 nt
Filed under: uncultured bacterium
Lineage: Bacteria
Description: partial 16S ribosomal RNA
Rfam family: Bacterial small subunit ribosomal RNA
Source: RNAcentral
AUACGGAGGGGGCGAGCGUUAUUCGGAAUCAUUGGGCGUAAAGGGCGCGUAGGCGGCCUGACAAGUCAGGGGUGAAAUCCCUCGGCUCAACCGAGGAACUGCCUCUGAAACUGUCAGGCUUGAGGCCGGGAGAGGGUAGUGGAAUUCCCAGUGUAGCGGUGAAAUGCGUAGAUAUUGGGAGGAACACCAGUGGCGAAGGCGGCUACCUGGACCGGUUCUGACGCUGAGGCGCGAAAGUGUGGGGAGCAAACAGGAUUAGAAACCCUUGUAGUCC